RNAcentral lists this unclassified non-coding RNA (233 nucleotides) under plant metagenome. Its description in RNAcentral is "partial contains small subunit ribosomal RNA, internal transcribed spacer 1, and 5.8S ribosomal RNA". The record is from RNAcentral.
UUUCCGUAGGUGAGCCUGCGGAAGGAUCAUUAUUGGAUUUUGAAACUUCAGGCUGCUGCUGGCUCUCCUCGGAGGGCAUGUGCACGCUUGUUGUCCAUUAUUUCUCCCACUGUGCACAAAUUGUAGACCUUUCAGUAGGCCUAUGUUGUUUUUCACAAUCUCUGAAUGUAAUAGAAUGGUUUUGAAUCUUGGGAAAUACAAUACAACUUUCAGCAACGGAUCUCUUGGCUCUC